RNAcentral lists this ribosomal RNA (342 nucleotides) under uncultured bacterium. Its description in RNAcentral is "partial 16S ribosomal RNA". It matches the Rfam family "Bacterial small subunit ribosomal RNA", at positions 338 to 677 of the family's 1533-position model. The record is from RNAcentral.
CCUACGGGGGGCAGCAGUGAGGAAUAUUGGUCAAUGGCCGGAAGGCUGAACCAGCCAAGCCGCGUGAGGGAGGAAGGCGCAGAGCGUCGCAGACCUCUUUUGCCGGGGGACAAAAGGCCGGACUCGUCCGGUCCUGCGGGUACCCGGAGAAACAGCAUCGGCUAAAUCCGUGCCAGCAGCCGCGGUAAUACGGAGGGGGCGAGCGUUAUCCGGAGUGAUUGGGUUUAGGGGGUGGGCAGGCGGGGCUUUAAGCCGGCUGUGAAAGCGCGGGGUUCAACCCCGGGACUGCAGUUGGAACGGGGGGGCUGGAGUGGUGGAGAGGCAGGCGGAAAUCCUAGUGUA